AUGGAGGAUUCUGGCAGAUAUACCAUGAUUGUCCAGAAUAAAUAUGGAGGAGAGUCUGUGGAUAUAGUGGUCAGUGUGUAUCGCCAUGGGGAGAAAAUCCCUGAGGCAAAACCAACUCUGACCCCUAAAACAAUCAUCCCACCUAAAUUACCAAUCGAGAUCCCUCAGCCUAAGACCCAGCCUGCUCCGAGCGCUGCCCCUUCAACUCCUAGCCCUGCCGCUCCUAAGGCAGCACUGGGAAGAGGGGUGAAGAGUCCUACUCCAAGUCGGAGGAAGUGAAAAGCAAGGCAGAAGAAACACAAUCACUGGUGCACAAUUAGACCACACAUAGCUGAGAAGCCUUUAUUGGUGUUCUCUAUCUGGAUUGAAAUGGAGCUAAUACUCUUUCCAUUAAAUUAGAGCGUCAAGAAAACCCUGACAUAUGAAAUAAAUCUUGCAAUUGUGAUGGAAAGCAAAAAAUAAUUUCAAUGUGAAAUCAUUGUAUAAAAUCAGCAAAAUUAUACUAGAAUAAUAAAAAGCUAGGCACUAUCUAAACAUGAGGAAAUUAGAAAUUAAUUGAAAUGAACUUGAAUAAAGCUACAAAUUGAAUAAAACUUGAAGAAAGAGUGAAAUGUGUUUUAAAUUCAUUCUUGAAGUGCACAAAUGACACCGCAUGCAGUAUAAUCAAAUAUUAAAUGGCUUGCAAAUUACAGGAACAUUGCCCAAAGUUAACUGACUUGAAGCUUCGAUGCACCUUGGCAUUGUGGAACAAUAUUUCGUAUUUAUCAUAGUUAGGGGGAGUUUAACAUGUUAGUCAAAACAAAAUUGGGUUAAAGUCUAGUAAGUACAAAUCCCAAAGGAGACCAGUAAACAUUAAUUUCAAAUCAAAUCAAAUCAAAUCACUUUUAUUGUCACAUCACAUGUGCAGGUACACUGGUACAGUACAUGCGAGUGAAAUUCUUGUGUGCGAGCUUCACAAGCAACAGAGUUGUGCAAAAUACAAUAACGUAAAACAAGCAAAAUAUAAAAAUUGCUAAUCUAAAAAGUAAUAAAUAUAUGUACAAUAUGUAAAGGUAUAUACAUUACUGAAUGUGUAUACUAAAUAUGUUUUUCUACAUGUGUGUGUUUGAGUGUGUAUAUAGUGUGUAUAUACAUGUAAUGAAAUAAAGUAAACAAUAAAAUAAGAUAUAUAAAAUAUACAGAGGUUGGUAUGUGCAAAACAGUGGUAUUUAUAUACAGUAUGGAGUGCAUAAUGUUGAAGUUCUGGUAAGUGAAGGUGAGGUGUCUAUGAAGUGUUCAGCAGUCUGAUGGCCUGAUGGAAAAAGCUGCCCUAUGGAUGUAGGUUUUGUCCCCCGUAACCAAGUGACCCAUCCAUCUUUGUUGCCAUGCCACCAAAAUAACCCCACAGCAUAUCAAAACCACGGGAUCCCCUCACUGUAGAGUUUAAGAGUUUUCUCUUUAAAUUCUUAUCUGUGUCACAGAAUAUUUCAAGUAAACCAGAGACAUGGUCUGCUCCAUCAAGGAUUACUCUAAACAUAGUUUUAAAAAAUGCUGUGUUAUGUUACAAAGUUGCUAGGGCCACUAGCCAGGACAUGCCCUCACAUCACUAACCUGCUGACUAUUACCUGCAUUUUUGAUGGUGUCUAGCACCAGAUGUUCUUGGUAUAAUCACAUACACACCACUCCCAUUUGCCUUUGAUUAUGGGGCUGAGGCAAGUUUCAUUAUGAGCCAGUGGAGAGAGGUGGGCCCUUGUCUAUAUUUUUCUGAAUAUGAUCAGUGGUUUGGCUCAGUCUCACAGUCAUUUACAUAUUUAAAUGCACAAAAACAACACAGGCUUAGUAUCACAGCUCACAAGAUCAGUGUUCAUUUUAUGUUGUUUAAAGGGAGGAAAAAAAAACACAGACGUGCACCUUUCACAAAGAAAAAAGGGACAGAGAGAAAUAGGUCAGGCUGUACAAAGUAGUCAUUAUACUGCCACCUCUACAACACGGUCAACUGAUGACUGCAAAUGUAUAACACCAUCCUCCUUAAGAUCACCAUGGUGAACACGCUGAAGAUUAACUGGCAGUGAAUCACCACUAAGUAAACCAGAGCUGUGAAGCGAAGCUGUCCUACUAACGCUGCUGCCUCUCAAACCGUCAUUACCAAAUUUUACCUAAUAUUAACUCUGAC
This 2152-nucleotide long non-coding RNA is filed under the name Oreochromis niloticus (Nile tilapia). RNAcentral describes it as "lncRNA (ENSONIG00000037078.1)". The record is from RNAcentral. Lineage: Eukaryota; Metazoa; Chordata; Actinopteri; Cichliformes; Cichlidae.